AUGUUUCACUCAGCAGGCACAGCACCAGGGCACAUUUUUAAUGAUUUACCAGUUCUACUUGACUGAGCCUGCACCCUGUAAGUAGAUCAUAUGAUCAGCGAUCACAAGUUAAACUGCUUUUGUUGUUCGCAAGGCAUGCAUGGUGGACGGGCUGCAAGGCACCAGGCCCUCGCACGCAGCUGUGUGUAAGACAAGGCAAGGUUGCGUACGACAGGCAGUUAAUGGCUCAUACCAGCAAGCCUUCGACUUCGGCUGGCACAUGAACCUGAAUUUUAAGAAGGAAGAACAAGGUUUACCUUCUUCCAGUUCCUCCACACGAACUUGGUCAUCAUGGCACAGCACCAGAAGAGCCAGGCCUACAGCUGUUCAAUGCACUGGCUAAAACAAAGUCAUUUUCUCCCAAAACACCCUGCCUCAUGACAAGCAGAUGCGCAAAGCAGCAACUACGGGGGUAUGGAUGGAGAAAGGAGAGACACAGCUCAGGUCUACCUCAUUGUACAAACAGAUCCUGACCCACUCCUGGCACCCACACCUCUCAUCUUGCGAACAAGUUAUCGUUUCCCCUGCCUUUCCUUUUAUCUCUAAACAUACUGUUUCAUCUCAUUGGAGUUAAUCAGAAAUGAAGCUGACUAAAGUUUACUGAGCACUUACUAUGUAUAUUGCAUGUCAAAAGUGGGAGGGGCUUAGGCUCAGCCUCCAGGAACACUGUCAGUCAUGGAGGAAAGGAGUGUGAAGAGCCCGAGCGAGCAAACUGCUGAAUUAUGGAUCUGUGAUUUCCCCUACUUUGUAUUCAAUUCAUACUUUUAAUUCACAUACAGUGAUCGCAUAGCUGUGUUGCUGAGAGGUCUGCCUCUUCCCCCACCUCCACCCCCUGCGUGUUGUAGUAGCGGGGCUUGAAACCAUGGU
Mus musculus (house mouse) is the source of this 906-nucleotide long non-coding RNA. RefSeq annotates it as predicted gene, 30926. The record is from RefSeq and is a predicted model, not a curated record. NCBI's taxonomy places the organism in Eukaryota, Metazoa, Chordata, Mammalia, Rodentia, Muridae. The transcript has 3 exons.